This is a small nuclear RNA of Marmota marmota marmota (Alpine marmot), 107 nucleotides long. NCBI's taxonomy places the organism in Eukaryota, Metazoa, Chordata, Mammalia, Rodentia, Sciuridae. The record is from Ensembl.
GUGCUCACUUCAGCAACACAUAUAGUAAAAUUGAAAUGAUACAGAGAAGAUAAGCAUAUACCCUGCACAAGGAUGACAUGUAAAUUCAUGAAGUAUUCCAUAAAAAA